Molecule: small RNA, 168 nt
Filed under: human gut metagenome
Description: Clostridiales-1 RNA
Rfam family: Clostridiales-1 RNA
Source: RNAcentral
GAUGCCAGGGUCUCAAUCCCUAAGCCCACAUUGUGCUUGCACAUAUGGGGGCUUAGGGAUUAGAGACCCGCCCCGAUAUGAGCAUAAAAGUGAAGCGUUAAGCUUCACGAUAUGCGAAUACCGGGUAGGAGUGUGGGAGUGCGCAGCACGAAGCAAUCCGUUGGCAUC